Molecule: long non-coding RNA, 692 nt
Organism: Herpailurus yagouaroundi (jaguarundi)
Lineage: Eukaryota; Metazoa; Chordata; Mammalia; Carnivora; Felidae
Exons: 2
Source: RefSeq, a predicted model, not a curated record
GAGGGCUGGGAGCUAGACAUGGGUUCCCAGCCUCUCUCCAGAUACACAGUUGCCUGAAUCCAAGUCUCUCAUCUACAAAUUUUGCUGGAGAUUACAAUCUGUUGGAAGAAAAGGAAAUGUACAAGAAGAGGAAGAAAUGAAAAUCUUAGAAACCUAUUCAGGUAGUCACAAGUUUACAGGAGUCUUUAACAAGAGUUCCUGAUCAGAGACACAGAUUCACAUGAGAAACUUUUAAAAGUGAAUGAAGAGGAGAAAAAUACCAGACCCUCUCCAUUUGUACCAGAGAUAUAAUGGGAUUUAAAAUUCAACUGUAUCAAAGCUCCUCCAGUUAGACCUGGGAGGCAUCCUUUUGUAACAGCCACUUUGCAAAAUACUGGUGCCACAAGCAAACAAAUGAUCACUCCAGAAAUAAGGAGAAGACAAGUCCUUUAUUUUUUAAAUUUCUGGGGCUGAGCCCUCGGGAACUACCUUGGGGGAGGGUGGGAAUGAAAUGUGCCGCUGUGCACCUGGCCUUCAGCUAUUCAGGAGCUUGGGCGGCAGGAAAUAGCUCGGGGGCAGCUUCCGUAUUUGCAGGAGCUAGUGAAAAGACAUCUUUUUUCCCCUCACAGCUACGUUCGUAAACAAAUGUUCACUCUCCAACCCUCACCCCAAUUUGGAGCAUAUUUACCCAAUAAAGUAGGCCUUCAAAUGCC